Molecule: ribosomal RNA, 274 nt
Filed under: uncultured bacterium
Lineage: Bacteria
Description: partial 16S ribosomal RNA
Rfam family: Bacterial small subunit ribosomal RNA
Source: RNAcentral
AUACGGAGGGUCCAAGCGUUAUCCGGAAUCAUUGGGUUUAAAGGGUCCGCAGGCGGUCAAUUAAGUCAGAGGUGGAAGCCCAUCGCUCAACGAUGGAACUGCCUUUGAUACUGGUUGACUUGAGUUAUACGGAAGUAGAUAGAAUAAGUAGUGUAGCGGUGAAAUGCAUAGAUAUUACUUAGAAUACCGAUUGCGAAGGCAGUCUACUACGUAUAUACUGACGCUGAGGGACGAAAGCGUGGGGAGCGAACAGGAUUAGAAACCCCAGUAGUCC